This 26-nucleotide non-coding RNA is filed under the name Homo sapiens (human). Lineage: Eukaryota; Metazoa; Chordata; Mammalia; Primates; Hominidae. The record is from RNAcentral.
CUGAUGGAGCUCCUGAUGACCUAAUG